RNAcentral lists this ribosomal RNA (535 nucleotides) under uncultured crenarchaeote. RNAcentral describes it as "bacterial SSU rRNA". It matches the Rfam family "Archaeal small subunit ribosomal RNA", at positions 342 to 879 of the family's 1478-position model. Lineage: Archaea; Thermoproteati; Thermoproteota. The record is from RNAcentral.
AGAAAACUUUGCAAUGUGCGAAAGCACGACAAGGUUAAUCCGAGUGAUUCCUGCUAAAGGAAUCUUUUGUUAGUCAUAAAACCACUAAUGAAUAAGGGGUGGGCAAGUUCUGGUGUCAGCCGCCGCGGUAAAACCAGCACCUCAAGUGGUCAGGAUGAUUAUUGGGCCUAAAGCAUCCGUAGCCGGCCCUGUUAGUUUUCGGUUAAAUCUAUAUGCUCAACAUAUAGGCCGCCGGGAAUACUACUAAGCUAGGGAGUGGGAGAGGUAGACGGUACUCCGUAGGAAGGGGUAAAAUCCUUUGAUCUAUGGAUGACCACCUGUGGCGAAGGCGGUCUACCAGAACACGUUCGACGGUGAGGGAUGAAAGCUGGGGGUGCAAACCGGAUUAGAUACCCGGGUAGUCCCAGCUGUAAACUAUGCAAACUCAGUGAUGCAUUGGCUUGUGGCCAGUGCAGUGCCGCAGAGAAGUCGUUAAGUUUGCCGCCUGGGAAGUACGUACGCAAGUAUGAAACUUAAAGGAAUUGGCGGGGAGCAC